This 713-nucleotide ribosomal RNA is filed under the name Bacillus cereus. RNAcentral describes it as "bacterial SSU rRNA". It matches the Rfam family "Bacterial small subunit ribosomal RNA", at positions 80 to 779 of the family's 1533-position model. The record is from RNAcentral. Lineage: Bacteria; Bacillati; Bacillota; Bacilli; Caryophanales; Bacillaceae.
CCUCUUAUGAAGUUAGCGGCGGACGGGUGAGUAACACGUGGGUAACCUGCCCAUAAGACUGGGAUAACUCCGGGAAACCGGGGCUAAUACCGGAUAACAUUUUGAACCGCAUGGUUCGAAAUUGAAAGGCGGCUUCGGCUGUCACUUAUGGAUGGACCCGCGUCGCAUUAGCUAGUUGGUGAGGUAACGGCUCACCAAGGCAACGAUGCGUAGCCGACCUGAGAGGGUGAUCGGCCACACUGGGACUGAGACACGGCCCAGACUCCUACGGGAGGCAGCAGUAGGGAAUCUUCCGCAAUGGACGAAAGUCUGACGGAGCAACGCCGCGUGAGUGAUGAAGGCUUUCGGGUCGUAAAACUCUGUUGUUAGGGAAGAACAAGUGCUAGUUGAAUAAGCUGGCACCUUGACGGUACCUAACCAGAAAGCCACGGCUAACUACGUGCCAGCAGCCGCGGUAAUACGUAGGUGGCAAGCGUUAUCCGGAAUUAUUGGGCGUAAAGCGCGCGCAGGUGGUUUCUUAAGUCUGAUGUGAAAGCCCACGGCUCAACCGUGGAGGGUCAUUGGAAACUGGGAGACUUGAGUGCAGAAGAGGAAAGUGGAAUUCCAUGUGUAGCGGUGAAAUGCGUAGAGAUAUGGAGGAACACCAGUGCGAAGGCGACUUUCUGGUCUGUAACUGACACUGAGGCGCGAAAGCGUGGGGAGCAAACAGGAUU